Long non-coding RNA from Daktulosphaira vitifoliae (grape phylloxera), 810 nucleotides. RefSeq lists it as uncharacterized. The record is from RefSeq and is a predicted model, not a curated record. NCBI's taxonomy places the organism in Eukaryota, Metazoa, Arthropoda, Insecta, Hemiptera, Phylloxeridae. The transcript is spliced from 3 exons.
UUAUUUGAUUUUUGGCAUAUUUGUUUAACCUCAAUUCAAGAUUUUUGAUUGUGUUUGGUUGUGCGUGCCGGUUUUUCCUAGUCAUGAGCUGCCAUAACCGGUUUUACUAUUGUGGUAGUGUAUGUGUGGGCUCUCCUAUUCAUGUUCUCGUAUGCUCCGUAUGUGUGUAGCUGCAGUGUUAUUACGAACACUGUGUCACGUUUGGUAAGAUGUGUCGCAGUUGAUGAAGGUGUCGCUGUUGGUUAUUAUUUAUGUUUUUUAGCGUUUGUUUAUUUAGUAUGCGUUAACUUAAUGCGUUAUAUUGUGUGCGAACGUUUAUUAAUUGUUUGUCCUUUAUUUUGAAGUGAUAGCGGAAUACAGUUGAUUGCGUUGGGCUCAACUGUGUAAUUCAUGGUAUGUAAUUGUACAGAACGCGUUUGUAAUAUUUGACCAAGUUGAAAUUUGAUGGAUUGCAACCUGUCAUUAGUUCAGUGUCCAUAGAAGCAUCAUGAUAUUAUAAUUGUAAAUAUUGUAUUGAUUAGUGUAUGGUUCCUGCAUGUCACAAAACAUUCACAAUAAAAAAACACUUCUUACAGCAGAAUAUAGAGGGAAUGUCCAAUACAAAAUGUGCGAUUAUGCCAUACCUACUCAUUCAAAGAGAGCCACAGAAAGAUCAUAGCACAAUACUACUACAUAACAAAAUAUAAUCUUCGCUAGACUUAUGAUAUAGUCCAUUACUUUAAGUCAAAACCUAUAUUGUUUUAAGCUGAUGAGAUAGCUAAAAAUUCAGCAUCCAAUGUGGAAUUUAACACUAGGAAUGGUAUAAUGAUA